GCCUGGGUGGCUCAGUGGUUAAGCAUCUGACUUCAGCUCAGGUCAUGAUCUCACGGUUUGUGGGUUUGAGCCCCGCGUCGGGCU
This 84-nucleotide transfer RNA is filed under the name Felis catus (domestic cat). It matches the Rfam family "tRNA". From Rfam's summary of the family: Transfer RNA (tRNA) molecules are approximately 80 nucleotides in length. Their secondary structure includes four short double-helical elements and three loops (D, anti-codon, and T loops). The record is from Rfam by way of RNAcentral. Lineage: Eukaryota; Metazoa; Chordata; Mammalia; Carnivora; Felidae. RNAcentral also lists the same sequence under 1 other name.